CAACCUGCCGUCUACUCUUGGACAGCCUUCUGAAAGGAAGAUUAAUACAAGAUGGCAUCAUGAGUUCACAUGUUCACAUGAUUAAAGGUAUUCCGGUAGACGAUGGGGAUGCGUUCCAUUAGAUAGUAGGCGGGGUAACGGCCCACCUAGUCUUCGAUGGAUAGGGGUUCUGAGAGGAAGGUCCCCCACAUUGGAACUGAGACACGGUCCAA
This 212-nucleotide ribosomal RNA is filed under the name uncultured bacterium. Its description in RNAcentral is "partial 16S ribosomal RNA". It matches the Rfam family "Bacterial small subunit ribosomal RNA", at positions 122 to 334 of the family's 1533-position model. The record is from RNAcentral.